Molecule: transfer RNA, 85 nt
Filed under: Felis catus (domestic cat)
Lineage: Eukaryota; Metazoa; Chordata; Mammalia; Carnivora; Felidae
Rfam family: tRNA
About the family: Transfer RNA (tRNA) molecules are approximately 80 nucleotides in length. Their secondary structure includes four short double-helical elements and three loops (D, anti-codon, and T loops).
Source: Rfam by way of RNAcentral
ACCUGGGUGGCUCAGUCGGUUGAGCAUCUGACUUCAACUCAGGUCAUGAUCUUGUAGUUUGUGGAUUCAAACCCCACACUGGGCU